RNAcentral lists this long non-coding RNA (3095 nucleotides) under Lactuca sativa (garden lettuce). The record is from RNAcentral. Lineage: Eukaryota; Viridiplantae; Streptophyta; Magnoliopsida; Asterales; Asteraceae.
UCUGUUUAUGCUUAUGUUUCGGUAUUAACGAUGACAUCCCAAACAUUUUAAAAUGAAAUAAAUACGUUUCUUCGAAAAUGUUUUAAUAACGUAUUUACCAUGUUUUUCUGGGAACAAAUUCCGCAACCUUUUUAUAAAAUGAAGUACUCUGAUUUUUAUAAAGCAUAAACAAAAUCGGUCUUUUCUGGCCGUGAUUUUGGGGAUGUCACAGUUGGUAUCAGAGCAUUAGUUUAAGCGAACUAGGAAUAUGGAUUUAUUUCUAGACUUAAACUUAGAAUGCUAAGCGAUGAUUGUGAGGUGUGAGCACUAGCUUAUUUUAGGAAUUAUGCCUAAAAUGCUUUUAUGUGCUAAAUGCUUUGUGCAUGAUAUGUUGUUAAUUGUUCGGAUCUAUGGUCUGUUGCCGACCGGAUCUGGAAACCUUAUGUGUUUAGGAUUCUAAACGUACGACUACGGUAUUAGAACUAGCAUGUAAACGUUUCGGAGUGAUAAGGAUGAUUUAAACGUCAAGUAAAGGUCUAAAUUCACCUUAUUCGGUGUAUAGAUCGAGAUGGUAAGGACCCGUAGCGGAAACGUAAACGCAAAUGGGAACAGGAACCAACCCCCAGUGGUUCAGCAAAUACCUGUUGUAGAAGAAGUUGCGCCUGAGCCAGUCACCAUGGCUGGAGUUCAAGCCAUGAUUCGGGCUAUGUUGGCUGAACAAAGGGAAGAAAUGAGACGGAUGUUGAAUAGGGACGAACCUACUAUGCCCAUUGAGCAACCCGAACUGAUUCCCGAGCAAUCUGAGGAAGGGAACUACAGCCGCCAAGUGAGUCAAGUUGGGACUCAAGGUGAGCAAAGGGAUGGCCCAGAAGGGAGAAACAACAAGGAUGGGCGGAUGUACAAGAACUUCUUGGGUGCGAAACCACCAAGCCUCUCAGGAAGCCCAAAGCCGGUUGAGGUUAUGGAUUGGAUCUCUGAGAUGGAGAUGGUGUUUGAGAGCUGCAGCUGUAAUGAGAAACAGAAGACUGUCUUUGCAGUAAGACAGCUGAAAACUGGAGUCUUGAGCUGGUGGAAGCUAUUGGCAGAUACGAUGCCACGAGGAGAAGCCUUAAGGAUGUCGUGGGAAGAGUUUUUGGAACAGUUGAAAAUGCAGUACUGCUCGGAGGUAGAUCUGAUAGACCUAAACAACGAGUUUCAGAACCUGAAGAAAGGGAAGAUGAGUGUUGAUGAGUAUGCCACCGCAUUUACCGAGAGGAUGAAGCUAUUUCCCUACUUGGUGCCUACUGAACUCUCCAAGAUUGAUAGGUUUGCUAACGGACUGCCCACUGACUUUGGUCCAAUGGUCAAAAUGGCAACUACCUUAAAAGCAGCUAUUAGGGCAGCUAAGAACGUAGAGGCCCAGAUAAGAGAAAAGGGUCUAGAAAAAGAUAAGGCAGGAGAGAAGCGAAAGUUUGAGGGAUCUUCGAGGUCGAACAAGGAAAGCAAAUUCUCAAAACUCGGAGGAGCAGAUGGAGGUGAAACAAGAUGGUGUGAUAAAUGCAAGAAGAAGCAUGGUGGGAAGUGCAACGAAGAAGUGACUUGUUACAAGUGUGGGAGGACGGGUCACUAUUCCAAAGACUGCACACAUAAUGACAAAGUAUGCUACGGAUGUGGAGGCAAGGGGCACAUGUCCAGAGACUGCCCNAAGGGGUGUGGAUACCUUCCCUAUCACAACGCGUUUUAAAGCCGUGAGGGCAGCAGAUCCCAUAAGAACUCUGCAGUUAAGCGUGCUCGGGCGGGAGUAGUACCAGGAUGGGUGACCCCCUGGGAAGUCCUCGUGCCGAGUGGCCCAAAGCGGACAAUAUUGUGAUACGUGCCAGAGGGGGAUGUUACAUAUUACGUGCUAUUUGUGCAUAUUAUAUGUGUUCUUGAUAUAUAUGCUGGAUGAACAAAAUAUACAUGUUGUAUUCAAUUUAAAUUGUAUAUGUAUUUUAUAUCUAUAAUUAUGAUGGGUAGAGAUGGGUAGAUAAAAUAGAUGAUGAAAGAUGAAAUAAAAUUGAUGAGAGGCCUCGAUCUUCAAAUCUGAUCCACUCAUCUAGCGAAGUAUAGAUGACGACCACAGACUAUUCUAGACAGUCCAGUGGAACGCUAGCAGACUCGCAACCUGUAGGUGUUUUUGAACUACGUGUUCACCAGGUGUACUCCAUCCCCCUCAUGGUUGCCUUUUUGACAUAUAUUGCUGAGGAAUCCCCUAAGCAGUGUUUUCCAUACCGAUGAUAAUCCUUAGGCUAGGUCCUUUAAUUUAGAUGCUUUAGGGACAGAAAGUGAGGAUAACGAGAAUGGGUAAUAGAGUUGAAUGAUUUGAUUAAAUUAAUGAACUUAAUUAUUGUGGGAUGAAAAUCCUAUGUGCUCACCAGGCACCCAAGCCUAACCUACUCAGUUUCUUGUAUUACAGGUAAUGGUAGAAGAGCACAAGAGUGUUGAUCUGAUGAAAGAUCUAUAGAUUAUAGGCCAUUAGAAUAAUAGAUAUUUGUAAGGUCAGUAUUAUUUCUGUUUAUGUUUAUGUAUAGUAUUGACAAUGACAUCCCAACGUUUUUAAUAUAAUUAAAACACAUUUUUUUGGAAAUGCUUUGAUAAUAUCUUUAUCAUAUUUUUGGGAACAAAUUCCGAAAUAUUAUUCUUCAAAAAGAUACUCUGAUUUUCAAAUAAAGCAUAAACAAAUCGGUUUUUUUUUGGGCGUGGAAUUGAGGAUGUUGCAGUCAUAGAGGUUGUUGAUGCCAUAGCCACUGCAGUUGUUGUUGUUGUAGGACUCCAGGGGAGAGGGACGGUGCAGUACCGAGACUUUAGCAAUAGGAAGCCCCCAGAGUUCGACGGGGUCAAGGAUCCGAUCAUUUCGAUGAGGUGGCUAUCUGAUAUGGAGGAUUGUUUCUUCACCUGCUCAUGUCCAGAGGACCAGAAGGUUGUGUUUGCCUUGAACCUUCUUCGUUGGGGACGAAGGACUGGUGGAAGCUGGUGACCGGUGCUUAUUCUCAUGCGGAGAAGGCCAUAGUGACAUGGGAGCAAUUUAUGGAGAUGUUUUGUACUGAGUAUGUUCCACUGGUGGAGAGGGAGAGUUUAUCCCAGGAGUUUUUGUCGUU